AUGAGUUUGCAUCAGGAAGUUUUUUUUGUUGUUGUUUAUGUUUAUGCCACAGAAAUAAGCCUGCAGGAGGCCUGGUGCCCAUUUUCAACAAAAAGCAAAGCCAUUUCCCAGCUCAUUUGGUCCAGGCUUGUCUUCUUUGGGCCUUUCCCACUUGUGCUGUCAUGCCAAAGACCAUCUUUUAGCUGCUCUUCCAGGAGCCUUCUGUUUGUGGAGAUGUUGCUUAGCUCCUUGUCGCCAGGCGGGGUGGCUGCUGCCUCCUGCCACUGCAUGUUAGAGCCAAUCCCGGCCGGCAGUCAGAUUCUCAAGGAUGGACUGUUCAUUGAAAAUGAACAGGAUCACACUUCUGGACACCAAUCAGCCCAGCCACUCCACUGCAUCUCUGCCAGAGCUCCUCUACAUGCCUGCUGGGGACUCUGGCUGUGAUGAGCACAUGUGAGAAGUGCUGCAGGCCCACACUGCUACCUGCGUUUCUGGACCACUCUGGUCUCCACUAGUACAGAUUGUUACAAGUGCAGCAUGCAGGCUCUUCUUUAUUAACAGAAUAAAUGCACACAUAAUGGUGGCUACUACACUGAAAGAUAGAUUUUUAUUUUGUAGCCAAGAAUUUGCUCUAUCAAACAGUGCUAUUGUGUUUUUUGUAUCUGUUGUAGCUUCCACUGAAAAAAAUAGAAGGCAUUGAUUUUGGAGUGACCCAGACAACUUUGGGACUUCAGCUUUGCCGUGGGAACGAUGCCAGCCAGACCUUGGGAAGUUUGCCCAGAUGUUUCAUUUCUUAUUCUGAUGCUGGGCUGUGAAGGUAGCCAAAAACUGUUUUCUGAAAAGUGUACUGAGAAAGGGGAAAUGGAUCUGCUUAAAGGGGCAGCAGCCCACGAUGGCUCUGCCGCUCUCACGGCCGCCCGCUGCCCUGCGUGCCCCUGGAGGGCCACGGGGUCAGCACUCAAUGCUGCUGCCAGGGGACUUCCUCUGCUUCACAAGAGCAUGGGAUCAUCCAAACCAUAACUGUGCAGGGCAAGAAGCUGAUUCUGGUGGAAUGCAAAUCUGGAAGGGCAAAUGCUGGCUGAGAAAGGGAACCAAAAAUCCACUAAAAAAUCCCAGAAGUCUCGGCAUUUCCCACAACAUCAGAGUGCUGUGUCUGAGUCCCCAGCAUGAAUCUCUAGGCCUUGCUUUCUGCCUUUGCUUCUAACAGAAAAUUUCUGAGAGUUCUCACUUCUACCUCAGUGUGUGACAGCAGGAAAAUUUUGAAGCUGGCAUUUUCUAGGGAAGAAAGCCCUGAGCUGCACUUCUCUCUGCAGUGCACUUGAUUGGAUCGCUGUACUGCUAAAUGUGCUGCUUUCAUUCAGCAACCUGAACCAGCUCGGUUGUGUUCCAGCUGGUAAAGUGCUGCCAAGUUGUACUCUAUCCUCAGAAUUCCCUUUUGCUCAAACUUUGCUUGUUUUGCACCCAGGUCACUCGGGAUGGUGUGAAUCACGUGUAAUCCAUUCACACCAAUCAGCUCCUCCAGCUCCUGUGCCCCACGGCUUGUUCACUGCCUUCAUUCCCUGGGCAGCUGCCAGACAUGCUGUGCUGAGGGCAACGCUUACAGGAAACUCAUGAAAAGGAGUUUUGCAAACAGGUGCUGGAAAGGGCUCAAGAAAAAUUUUGAUUGCAACAUUUGGGCUUGCAGCAGAGAGAAGCUUGAAGAGAUAGGGUAUUUCUAAGCAACCUCAUGCUGAAGACUGCGCAGAAACAAUGAGCUCUGUGGUGGCUGUGUAAAGUCAGCCCCAAAGGGAUGGCACUGGGAUGGGCAGUGCCCACAGAGCUGCACAGAGCCAUCUCUUGGGCAUGGGCAGUAACCACCAUAGAAAUGCUGCUCCCACUGCAUUCCUGGAGCACAGCCUGGAGUUUUGCGGCCCAAAGGAGCAUGACAGCUGCCUGGCAGCCGUGAGGCCUUUUGGCAAGCUAUGCCUUGAAGGCUGCCAGCCUCAAAGCAGGAAGGCAGCUGCUGCAUUUGCCUUUUCCCCCCAUUUCCAAAGGUUGCAAUGCAGCACGAGUUGAGCAUUACUGCGGGGCCCAGCCAAAUGUCACAGCAGCUUGGGAGGACAAACCUCUCUCCAUUACUUCUUUUUGCACUCUUGUGAUGCCCAUCCUUUCUUGCCUCCUUCUCCUUGCUGAAUGACAAAGCAUAGCCCACGCAUCCCUUUUGCUCUCCAGACAGGAUGGUCCUGCAAGGGAUGGGCUAAUAUGGUAUUUUUCUGGGGUGAGAAAUAGACUUUACAAUUCAGACCUAAAACCAAAACCAAGCAAUCCAAGAGACAGAGGCUGAGUGGAGAUGGCUCCAUAGUUGCAGUGCUGGGAAGGACAGGCUCCUCAUGUGUUUAAAUUGUGAAGCCCAUUUCUUACCCCAGAAAAACACCCUUUUAAAAUAUAUAUAUAUAUUUAUUGUAUUUUAUUAUAUUUUAUUAUAUAUGUAUAUUUACAUACAAGUUCCUAGUUCUCAUUUGAAAGAUAAAUUGGUCACUUUCUGCGCUCUGAAAGUAAUCCCUCCUCUGAGACUUCUGUUGUCUCCAAGUUACACUUGGGUAUUAGUGCCAAGCUGCAAAUGAGGUUUGCUCUGCUGGGCCAGCUCUCAAACAGAAAUGAGUGUUUCAGGCCCAAAAUUGUGUCUGUGGUCUCAUAAAAAAGCAGAGCUCUCCUUGUUCACCAGCUUUCUAUUUCAUUGCCAUUAAGGGAAUGAUCUCAUCCUGCCCUUUGCUUGUCCUCUGGUUGUUUUCCUCCCUGAUAAAAUGUUCGGCAGGCUGUCAGAGCAUGGCUCAGAUUUGGAGACACUAUUCUAACACCCGCAAAUCCCCAGUUGAUCACCAGCAGUUCCUUUACUCACUAACAACCACUUUCCAGCCCUGCUGCAUCUCCUUGCAAAACCCAGCUCACAUUUAACCACUGCCCCAGCCAGUGAUUCCCCAGCCUGGCUCUGCUCUGACAGCAGCCAAACCUCUGUUUACCCAUGCCCAGGCUGCAGUCAAACACUCCACCUGUGUCCCAGUUCCUGGGGUCAUUUCCCCAGCCCCUUUGCUUCCAGCAAGUCUGUGAUGUGGAAAUUCACCUUACCCUGUGGGGUAAACCUUCAAUGAAAGUGCUGCUGCUUGCCAAGCAGGGAUUUCCAGCUGGUGGUGAUGCUGGUGUGAGAUUCUCUCUUUGCCAUCCUGCUACAGCGUGGUCCUAACACCAGAGCCAUCAGCUGCACAUCCAAGAAAUGAAUGCAACAAUCAGAAAUUGGGCUGGAAAUGAAGUUCAGGCUGCUUCAUUUGUGAAAAGUGCAGGAAAGCUGCCUGUGUUGUACCUCUGUAAAUGGGGAUAUAAAAUGUUGGCUCAGAGCCAACCAUGGAAUAGGUGGCUGCGUGGAGCUUGCAGGCUCUGUGGGCCUUAUGAGCAGAGCUGUCUGGCCAGGACUGGGUUGGAUUUAGCCCUGAACUCUAAAAGAAACAGAUGUAAGGCCAAAAAGUGUGCACUGAACAACCAAAGGUGUCCCCAGACCUACUGAAAUGAGAUUAUAUCUUAUUUUUAAUGAGAAGGACACUCCCCUAAGAAUUGAAGAGCACUGUGAACAUGCUCCAACAUCCCGAGACCUUCACCAAAGCCAAAAGCAGAGGCAGCAUGUUUGUGAGCACAAAGUAAAUUGCACAAUGUGAGGUACCUGAGUUGAGACUUGUACAGUCAUUAAGCCACAUCCGUGAGUUUGUUUAAAACACAUCAGCCCCUGACUAUGAAGAUUCAUCAGCACAAGAAAAAAUAAAAAUAACAACACAUGGUUCUCUUUCUUACUGUGUUGAACUUUAACUCCUUGCUGUUGUUCAGGCGGUGGCAGUUUCUAGUGCUCUUGGGUAAUGCCAAGAAUCUCAGCAUGGCCCAGGAGGGACUGUCCUUGUCCCUGUGCCUGUCACAUGUUGUGGGCCAAUGUUAACAGUGGGGUGAGUCCCACACAUAACUAAGUGGCCAUCUACUGACUCUCAUGGCUGCUGUUUUGGAACAAGACUUCAUAUUUGUCUCCCUGGAUUCAAAGGGCUGAGUGAGGUCUGGAUCAGCACCGUGCGGCCUUGCCCUGAGAGCAUCUCUCUGUUGAUGAGCAAAACACUGCUUUGCUCCUC
Meleagris gallopavo (turkey) is the source of this 4121-nucleotide long non-coding RNA. The record is from Ensembl. Lineage: Eukaryota; Metazoa; Chordata; Aves; Galliformes; Phasianidae.